UUAUGUAACUUAUGAAAAAACAAAUAACAUUUUAUCAAACAAAAAAAAUGUAGCUGAAUUACUAAAUCCGAUAUUUUUAAGCGUAAGUCUGAUAUCUUUUUUUCAAAAACAUUUUUCACAAGUCUAUUUUAGUGAUAUUGAUAUGCUCCCGAUAAGCCUUUAACAGUGGUAACGUAAUUGGUUGAAACCGAUAAAAAAAAGUAUGUGAUCGAGUACAAUGCAAUGUAGUGUGUGCUCUUGCUAUGCUUAGACUGUACUCGAUUGUGAUCCCAGCUACUAAAUCUGAAAAUAUACAGUCAAAAGGAAAC
Pelobates cultripes (western spadefoot toad) is the source of this 308-nucleotide non-coding RNA. Lineage: Eukaryota; Metazoa; Chordata; Amphibia; Anura; Pelobatidae. The record is from the annotation of a GenBank genome assembly.